GAUGAACGCUGGCGGCGUGCCUAAUACAUGCAAGUCGAGCGAACGGACGAGAAGCUUGCUUCUCUGAUGUUAGCGGCGGACGGGUGAGUAACACGUGGAUAACCUACCUAUAAGACUGGGAUAACUUCGGGAAACCGUAGCUAAUACCGGAUAAUAUUUUGAACCGCAUGGUUCAAAAGUGAAAGACGGUCUUGCUGUCACUUAUAGAUGGAUCCGCGCUGCAUUAGCUAGUUGGUAAGGUAACGGCUUACCAAGGCAACGAUGCAUAGCCGACCUGAGAGGGUGAUCGGCCACACUGGAACUGAGACACGGUCCAGACUCCUACGGGAGGCAGCAGUAGGGUAUCUUCCGCAAUGGGCAAAAGCCUGACGGAGCAACGCCGCGUGAGUGAUGAAGGUCUUCGGAUCGUAAAACUCUGUUAUGAGGGAAGAACAUAUGUGUAAGUAACUGUGCACAUCUUGACGGUACCUAAUCAGAAAGCCACGGCUAACUACGUG
This 497-nucleotide ribosomal RNA is filed under the name uncultured bacterium. Its description in RNAcentral is "partial 16S ribosomal RNA". It matches the Rfam family "Bacterial small subunit ribosomal RNA", at positions 28 to 507 of the family's 1533-position model. The record is from RNAcentral.